Molecule: ribosomal RNA, 254 nt
Filed under: uncultured bacterium
Lineage: Bacteria
Description: partial 16S ribosomal RNA
Rfam family: Bacterial small subunit ribosomal RNA
Source: RNAcentral
UACGGAGGGUGCAAGCGUUAUCCGGAUUUACUGGGUUUAAAAGGGAGCGUAGGUGGGUCGGUAAGUCAGUGGUGAAAUCUUCGAGCUUAACUCGGAAACUGCCAUUGAUACUAUCGAUCUUGAAUUAUCUGGAGGUAAGCGGAAUAUGUCAUGUAGCGGUGAAAUGCUUAGAUAUGACAUAGAACACCCAUUGCGAAGGCAGCUUACUACGGAUAUAUUGACACUGAGGCUCGAAAGCGUGGGGAUCAAACAGG